RNAcentral lists this ribosomal RNA (499 nucleotides) under uncultured Glomeromycotina. Its description in RNAcentral is "partial small subunit ribosomal RNA". It matches the Rfam family "Eukaryotic small subunit ribosomal RNA", at positions 591 to 1092 of the family's 1831-position model. The record is from RNAcentral. Lineage: Eukaryota; Fungi; Glomeromycota.
CCAAUAGCGUAUAUUAAAGUUGUUGCAGUUAAAAAGCUCGUAGUUGAAUUUCGAGAUCAAAUUGUUGGUCGUGCCUCGGUACGUACUGGCAUUAUUGAUUUCUCCUUUCUGCAGAACCUUGAUGUCAUUAAUUUGGUGUCUUGGGGAAUCAGGACCGUUACUUUGAAAAACUUAGAGUGUUUAAAGCAGGCUCACGCUUGAAUACAUUAGCAUGGAAUAAUGAAAUAGGACGUUUGAUUCUAUUUUGUUGGUUUCUAGGAUCGACGUAAUGAUUAAUAGGGAUAGUUGGGGGCAUUAGUAUUCAAUUGUCAGAGGUGAAAUUCUUGGAUUUAUUGAAGACUAACUACUGCGAAAGCAUUUGCCAAGGAUGUUUUCAUUAAUCAAGAACGAAAGUUAGGGGAUCGAAGACGAUCAGAUACCGUCGUAGUCUUAACCAUAAACUAUGCCGACUAGGGAUCGGAUGAUGUUAAUUUUUUAAUGACUCAUUCGGCGCCUUACG